GUAAAGGAUUCUUUGGAAUCUACACAAGUUUUUCAAAAAAAAUAUU
Tribolium castaneum (red flour beetle) is the source of this 46-nucleotide non-coding RNA. NCBI's taxonomy places the organism in Eukaryota, Metazoa, Arthropoda, Insecta, Coleoptera, Tenebrionidae. The record is from Rfam.